AGUGAACGCUGGCGGUAGGCCUAACACAUGCAAGUCGAACGGCAGCACAGUAAGAGCUGGCACUUACGGGUGGCGAGUGGCGGACGGGUGAGGAAUACAUCGGAAUCUACUUUUUCGUGGGGGAUAACGUAGGGAAACUUACGCUAAUACCCCAUACGACCUACGGGUGAAAGCAGAGAAUCUUCGGACCUUGCGCGAUUGAAUGAGCCGAUGUCGGAUUAGAUAGUUGGCGGGGUCAAGGCCCACCAAGGCGACGAUCCGUAUCUGGUCUGAGAGGAUGAUCAGCCACACUGGAACAGAGAAACGGUCCAGACUCCUACGGGGGGCAGCAGUGGGGAAUCUUGCGCAAUGGGCGCAAGCCUGAUACAGCCAUACCGCGUGAGUGAAGAAGGCCUUCGGGUUGUAAAGCGCUUUUGUUGGGAAAGAAAAAAAGCAGGUUAAUACCCCGAUGUUCUGACGGUACCCAAAGAAUAAGCACCGGCUAACUUCGUG
Molecule: ribosomal RNA, 492 nt
Filed under: uncultured bacterium
Lineage: Bacteria
Description: partial 16S ribosomal RNA
Rfam family: Bacterial small subunit ribosomal RNA
Source: RNAcentral